GACGAACGCUGGCGGCGUGCUUAACACAUGCAAGUCGAACGGAAAGGCCCUGCUUUUGUGGGGUUCUCGAGUGGCGAACGGGUGAGUAACACGUGAGUAACCUGCCCUUGACUUUGGGAUAACUUCAGGAAACUGGGGCUAAUACCGGAUAGGAGCUCCUGCUGCAUGGUGGGGGUUGGAAAGUUUCGGCGGUUGGGGAUGGACUCGCGGCUUAUCAGCUUGUUGGUGGGGUAGUGGCUUACCAAGGCUUUGACGGGUAGCCGGCCUGAGGGGGUGACCGGCCACAUGGGGACUGAGAGACGGCCCAGACUCCUACGGGAGGCAGCAGUGGGGAAUAUUGCACAAUGGGCGGAAGCCUGAUGCAGCAACGCCGCGUGCGGGAUGACGGCCUUCGGGUUGUAAACCGCUUUCGCCUGUGACGAAGCGUGAGUGACGGUAAUGGGUAAAGAAGCACCGGCUAACUACGUG
RNAcentral lists this ribosomal RNA (468 nucleotides) under uncultured bacterium. Its description in RNAcentral is "partial 16S ribosomal RNA". It matches the Rfam family "Bacterial small subunit ribosomal RNA", at positions 28 to 507 of the family's 1533-position model. The record is from RNAcentral.